UCCAGGAGCGGGGCGCUGAACCUUCCCUUUUGCUCUUUAUCUGCAGACGUUGGGGAGAGAAACGAGAAGUUACAGAAACCUGCCCAUGAAGUCCGUGAUUGUCUGCUCUCCAGUCAAUCAGGUCAUGUGGAAAUACAACAUGGGAAACAUCCAUCCUUCAUCCUCGGACUGCCUCCCCUCUCUGACCCGUCUCUGUUAGCAGUCAAAUUGCUGCUGGUGCAGUUAGGUUUGUGAGUGUGAGGAGACGAAAAACAAUGACACGGAGGAAGACGGAGGGGAAGUCGGCGGUCUCCUGCCUGUUUGUUUCUUUUGAGCAGCAGACUAAUUUGUUUUGCCUUAAGCUCCAAAUUUUCUAUUAAGCUGUGUAUUAUCUUACAUCCAGCAAAAGUUGUUUCUGACUAAAAAGAUAAAAAAAGAAGAAGAAGAAAAAACGAUGAGUGAUUUAUUCAGCAUCUCUUAUCCGAAUCAGGGGAUUUUCUUAAACUUUGAUGCGUGGGUGUGAGCUGUGGCGCGGCUGCU
Long non-coding RNA from Fundulus heteroclitus (mummichog), 519 nucleotides. RefSeq lists it as uncharacterized. Lineage: Eukaryota; Metazoa; Chordata; Actinopteri; Cyprinodontiformes; Fundulidae. The transcript is spliced from 3 exons. The record is from RefSeq and is a predicted model, not a curated record.